AAGCUCAGAGGCAGAGACAGGCUGUUGGCACCACUGGGCAGCUGGGGUGCUCAGGCUCUAGGGAGGGGAAACCUGAGCUGUGAGAGAGACCAUCAGAGGACCAGGGGAGCCAUCACUCAUGCCUCGCUUGUUCCAUUCGGGAAUUACUUCUUGCCUAUGAACUCCUAAAGAUCCUCCAGACUACUAGGCCCACCUGUGUGCUCUCGAGCAGUUUUCUGGAGUUGAAAUUAUCUCCGUUAGCCAACCGUAUCACAUGAACAGCAUCAGCAGCCACAGCAUCAGGAGGUUUGAUUCCUGGAACAGGAAAGACAGAGAACAAAGUGAAGUUCUGCGAUAUGGCUGUCACAACCGGGUGGGGAGGAUGGGGAGAUGGGGAAGGGGUAGAGACGGACAAGGAAUCAGGCAAGCAUCGACACCAGUAAAAUUCCAAGUACUUAUUAAGGUUGGUAUAGCACUAAGCUUCUUUCUUCAAUUAUAUGAUACAGAAUUAUCACAGGGUGUAUUACUAUAGGGUUGAAACAAUGAGGUUGCAUCACUGGCUCAAUCCCUCACUCCUCUCUGACUGAGCUGAGCUAUCCUCUUUCCAUUUUUAAAACCAGAGGUCAGAACUUUCAAGGUAUUUAUCAACCUCUCCUAUUCGCUGUCAAUGAUGAGUCAGCCAGAAAAAGCAGGAAGUGGCAAAUACUUUUCUGCCUGUAAUUCUAGAGAAUACUGUGGUUACUGACAGCAACUUAGAAAUAGCACUUUUUUUUUUAAUCUCCCAGAAUGCUUUACAUCUGGUUGUUUAUGGGCAGGGUCCAAUAGACUGAGAGGAGGUAGCUAGACUUGUGUGUGAGGGCAAAACCACUUUCGAAAGUUGUUUAUGCUCUGGUUCCUGACGUCUAUAGUAAUCAGGUGCACCAGCUACAGACUAUGCUGGUCAGUGUAGAAAAAGCCAGAAAUUAAUAGAUCACUGCAAUCAUUUGUUAAUGUCUAGGUAAUCCUGGAUGUAACCUAGUCAUUUAUAUCAAAUCACAACAUUAAUUUCUUCAGUUCACCCUGGGUUCUGGCUAUUGGUGAAGGUACUAUGGUAGUCACUGUCUAUAGUGCCCUAUGCCCUGAUGACAUCUUCCCAAAAGGCUAGAAUACUAGUGAUUUCCUGGCUGAAGCCCAGACUCAAAGAAAACACACAAUAGCAAGGCAGUCAUGGCUCAACAGUGUGAUGAAAACCCCAGCAUGCAAGAAAGAACAAAAUAGUAAAUAAGAAAGGAUUAAAAAAUAUAAUCAUCAUUACUGAAAUAAGGAUAAUGAAUUUAAUGAUUAUAAGUUCUAAAAUCAUAAUUUUAGGGGUGCCUGGGUGGCUCAGUCAGUUAAGCAUAGGUCUUCAGCUCAGGUCACAAUCUCACAGCUUGUGAGUUC
This is a long non-coding RNA of Felis catus (domestic cat), 1398 nucleotides long. RefSeq lists it as uncharacterized. The record is from RefSeq and is a predicted model, not a curated record. The transcript is spliced from 3 exons. Lineage: Eukaryota; Metazoa; Chordata; Mammalia; Carnivora; Felidae.